AGAUUAAUGGCUUGUGAAAAUUCAGACAUAGCACCUGAGCAGCAUUUCCCAAUUCCUGAACACGAGAAUCCUUUCAAUAAAGAAGCAAGCAUAGAUGUUCUCUACGGCAAAUAGUGCUGAUCAAUGAAGGUCUUUCUAGGGAAGCAAGCCACUGUAUUUCAGCAAGAACACAGAGGAGGGAGUGAAUAAUUGUGACAUGUUACUUGGAGAUGCAUCAGGACAAGAGCCACUGGAGAUACUUUACUGCAAGGCUCCAACAAUGUCCCUAAGAGGCUUCAUCUUGGCCGAGAAUCUUCCAUUAAAAGCUGUUGGUUGGAUGAGUGGCAGCUUCCGAGCAAAGUUUCUGAGACGUAGAUCUGGCCAUCGUCUGUAAGAUGCACUGCAAUAGGUCAGUAUGAGCUUCAGAGAGACUGUGCUGAUUGAUGCACAGUAGACAGUGGUACCCAAUUCCCUUCUCUCUGAGCUAACACUGCUUAGAGGAACCUCUUAUAAUCUGUCUUGGUAGCUCAGACAAGUAUUUGGUUGUAUGAGAAAAACCUGGUUGGUUAGCUCUGGCGACUAGGCUAACUUACUCACUCAGAAAACUCACUGAAUAAUGUCAUGCUGAAUUUUUAGCAUUUCAUACUUUUAGCACCCCUUGUCUGUAAGCAUAAAAUCAUCUUGGGAUAACAUUUUCAUAGACUUAAUCUAGCCCUAGACUCUGACGGGCCUCUUGAUCCAUGCAUUUGCAUCCCCUGGUAGAGAAGAAAAUAUUACAAAGACUAAUGAAAGGCCACAGAGAUUGAAGACACUCCUUGGUAAAAACACAUUGUCCUCAGAAGGCAGCAGGGCCCCAAAUCCAUAGUGAAAUGAGAUGUAUCUCACCAGAUGUCUAUGAAGAACACUAACACAACAUUUAGUUAUGGAAACUAAUGCAAUGACAGUAGAGCCACCUGGUAGAUUUUAGGACUGACAACAUGAAGUCUUUUGUGGUUUUAAAAUAUAGGGGAUCAAAAAAGUGUAGGGGAUCCCUAGGUGACUCAGCAGUUUAGCACCUACCUUCGGCCCAGGGCGUGAUCCUGGAGACCUGGGAUGGAGUCCCACAUAGGGCUCCCUGCAUGGAGCCUGCUUCUCCCUCUGCCUGUGUCUCUGCCUGUCUCUUUCUUUCUGUGUCUCUCAUGAAUAAAUAAAUAAAAUCUUUUAAAAAAUAAAAAAUA
Molecule: long non-coding RNA, 1196 nt
Filed under: Vulpes vulpes (red fox)
Lineage: Eukaryota; Metazoa; Chordata; Mammalia; Carnivora; Canidae
Description: lncRNA (ENSVVUG00000013907.1)
Source: RNAcentral